UAGGGAAUCUUCCGCAAUGGGCGAAAGCCUGCCGGAGCAACGCCGCGUGAGUGAUGAAGGUCUUCGGAUCGUAAAACUCUGUUAUUAGGGAAGAACAAAUGUGUAGGUAACUAUGCACGUCUUGACGGUACCUAAUCAGAAAGCCACGGCUAACUACGUGCCAGCAGCCGCGGUAAUACGUAGGUGGCAAGCGUUAUCCGGAAUUAUUGGGCGUAAAGCGCGCGUAGGCGGUUUUUUAAGUCUGAUGUGAAAGCCCACGGCUCAACCGUGGAGGGUCAUUGGAAACUGGAAAACUUGAGUGCAGAAGAGGAAAGUGGAAUUCCAUGUGUAGCGGUGAAAUGCGCAGAGAUAUGGAGGAACACCAGUGGCGAAGGCGACUUUCUGGUCUGUAACUGACGCUGAUGUGCGAAAGCGUGGGGAUCAAACAGG
RNAcentral lists this ribosomal RNA (429 nucleotides) under Actinomycetes bacterium. RNAcentral describes it as "Actinobacteria bacterium partial 16S ribosomal RNA". It matches the Rfam family "Bacterial small subunit ribosomal RNA", at positions 355 to 776 of the family's 1533-position model. Lineage: Bacteria; Bacillati; Actinomycetota; Actinomycetes. The record is from RNAcentral.